Molecule: ribosomal RNA, 466 nt
Filed under: uncultured bacterium
Lineage: Bacteria
Description: bacterial SSU rRNA
Rfam family: Bacterial small subunit ribosomal RNA
Source: RNAcentral
GGACCCGCACAAGCGGUGGAUGAUGUGGAUUAAUUCGAUGCAACGCGAAAAACCUUACCUACCCUUGACAUGCCAGGAACUUUCCAGAGAUGGAUUGGUGCCCGAAAGGGAGCCUGGACACAGGUGCUGCAUGGCUGUCGUCAGCUCGUGUCGUGAGAUGUUGGGUUAAGUCCCGCAACGAGCGCAACCCUUGUCAUUAAUUGCCAUCAUUUAGUUGGGCACUUUAAUGAGACUGCCGGUGACAAACCGGAGGAAGGUGGGGAUGACGUCAAGUCCUCAUGGCCCUUAUGGGUAGGGCUUCACACGUCAUACAAUGGUCGGUACAGAGGGUUGCCAAGCCGCGAGGUGGAGCUAAUCUCAGAAAGCCGAUCGUAGUCCGGAUUGCAGUCUGCAACUCGACUGCAUGAAGUCGGAAUCGCUAGUAAUCGCGGAUCAGCAUGUCGCGGUGAAUACGUUCCCGGGUCUU